Oryctolagus cuniculus (rabbit) is the source of this 880-nucleotide non-coding RNA. NCBI's taxonomy places the organism in Eukaryota, Metazoa, Chordata, Mammalia, Lagomorpha, Leporidae. The record is from RefSeq and is a predicted model, not a curated record.
CAGAACGGCUCCUCAGGGCUCGUGCAGGCCCCGGGCAGGAGAGAACGCGGCGCCGACUCCCACCUGAGCACCACUGGGCAGAAGGGGCCGCGCGUGCGGUUGCACUUCCGGGUCACAGCUCCGGCGCAGGCGCACUCCUCAUGCGAAGCCGCCAUGGCGCCGCGUGACGCAUAUGCACGGUUCCUUGUCCAGUGUCCGAUGCCACAGGGCCGCUUCCAGUCCCACUGCUCCAGGCUUUGACCCAGGGACGCAGCCACUGUUGGCCCAGAUUAUCUUGAGAACAGACCAGCAACAGAAGCUCCGUAGUGACUGGUGCCCUCCACCUGCAAGAUGAUGUCUUCACCAGCAAGAAAGCCAUCACCAGGUGUGGCCUCUCAAACCUGGACCACCGUCACAAGCCAGGGUCUGUAUUAUCAGGAAGUUGGAAUCAGGAGCUGGAGUUGGAAAUUGAACCUGGGUACUCCAAUAUCUAAAGACCUAAGGAUAUAUGUUACUGAUUGAUACUGCAAAUGCAGAUGGCGAUUUUGUUCUCUGAAAACUGAUGCCUGGCUUGUAAUGAGCAAUGGAACAGUAAUCUACUGCAUGGAGGAAAAGUAGAAAAAAUAACUAAAAAGCCAGAGAGAUGCAUUUUAUAUUGAAGAACUUGGGACAUUCAAUUUUUUUAAUUCUCCAAAAACCGCUUGUCUGUACUUUUUUCAGAGUCUCUUCAGGUAAAAUUGAUAAAAUCUGGGUCUUUUGACAUUCUAAAAUGUAGAAAUUAAAGAAUUAGAAAUUUUAAUGAAAUUUGGGCACCUUAGACACCAUCAACCUUGUAAGGGUUAACAAAUAGUGUCAUGUUAUUUGAAAAUUUUCCCUGAAAAUAAACAUUUCAUUCUAAAUU